This 1744-nucleotide long non-coding RNA is filed under the name Mus musculus (house mouse). RNAcentral describes it as "long non-coding RNA chr15:4579548-4581292". The record is from RNAcentral. Lineage: Eukaryota; Metazoa; Chordata; Mammalia; Rodentia; Muridae.
UAUUUGGUAAUGAUAGGUCAUUUCUACUUUAAUGAUAAGGUUUCCAGGGGAUGACAUAUCUCCAACUCACUGCAUUUGAACUUUGGAUCAUAAGAAAUAAGAGAGAUUGCCUUGGAUCUAUGGGAAUCACUGAGGCUCCAUUAACAUGGGGUAAUUCCAUUAUAUGAUUGGCUUCUCAACAAAACCAGCCACAAUGUUCAUCUUUCCUUUUUUUUCCCCAUGUGCAACAGGAAACCCCCAACCAAUCUACAUAGGUGGUCAUGUUGGAAGUAAAACUGUAAUCUAUUUUAUGCUUAGACUUUGUUUAUAAAUAGUUUCCAUAUUUCUUCCAGUCUCUGUUUUUUAUUUGUUUGUUUUUUAAUAUUUAUAGUUGCCAAGUAAAAUAGAGAACAGCAGUGAAAUUCAAAUAUCAGUUAAGUAAUUAAUAUGCUACUGAAGUUCCUAUAUAGUUAACCAGGAAUGCUUGCUUACAUUGCUCAGAAAUGUUUAUAUAGGUUUCAAUUUUAAAUGGAUACACUCCCUGUUGCUUCUUUAAAUCUGGCAACAGUAUACAUAAUUCCUCCCAAUGUUUUCAGCCGGGCUGCUGUGAGCUCUGAGAUGGUCAUUCUCCAAUAUUUUUAAGACAAAUCAUAAAAUCUGAAGAAAUAUUGUUUCAUGAAGAAAAUAUUGUUUCACACUAAGUGAUUUUCAAGAAUCAUCUCAAAGUCAUUUAAAUAAUCAAAAGAGUAUCUUCAUUAGAUGAAUGCUGCCAAACUUAAAUUUUUCUUAUAAUGGCAUGUUGGAGGUCUAGACUCUGGCUAUUAUUUCUGGAAAUAGUAUUCUCCAGCUAUUGAGACAACCAAAAACACAGCAUAUGUUAAAAGCUGUUCUUGGAAAGUGAGCGUACCUUCUAAGGCAAGACCAGAACCUGUUCUAGAAUUCAGUGUGUUUUCCUAUGAGAGAGUAAUCAAAUGAAUCCAUCAUGCCAAUCCCUAUCAGUCAUACCUCAAAUUUAUUUUAUUAAUUACAAGAAGUCAUCUAAGUGACUGUAGAAUAUUUGACAAAAGGAACUCUUCAGUGAGAGAGAAGAGAAUCUAGAGUAAAUGCAGUCUAGUCCUGAAAGCUUCUCCCCACAGUAGAGGAUGAUGCUUGGUCCUUGAGAGAAAGCCCAUGACAGAGAAUUGCCGAAACAGAUUGUAUUGAGCAAUUGGUUUUCAGGAACUGAAACUGAAGAACCCCUCUGAUAUGAAUUAAGAGAUCUAAAUCUGGUACCUAGGUUAUCUUUCAAAGACUGAAACCAUGCUGGAAUUCCUAAAUUAAUACCCAGUGUUUUGAACACCAAGUCCUUCCUAGGGUGAACAUGGACAGAGUUCUAAAAAAAAAAUUAUGGUAGCUACCUCUUCUUUUGAAAUGCCUAGGAGGAAAAAUAGGAACACUCAAAUCUCAUAAUGUUUUUCCAUAUCAUGAUUGUUGCCUACACAUAUUUGUGUUGAUUUGCUUCAUUUAUGGAGAAAAAGAAUGUGUAGAGCUGGUGAUGUUUCAUUCACUGACCCCAGGAGUUCACCAGAGGAAGUCAGAUCUGUGCCUUCUCUUUUUAGGAUUUGUUCAUUGAUACUUUAGUAAAUGUGCUGUAAUGAAAAUUCAUGCCUAUAUAGUCUGUAUAGAAAAUGUGAUUUUUUUAUAGAUAUAAAAUUGUGUUCUAAAUGUUAAAAAACAAAAGUUUAUUUGUAGCUAGUGAAAUUGCCUAAUAAAGUCCUGGAACCUG